Molecule: long non-coding RNA, 555 nt
Organism: Rhineura floridana
Lineage: Eukaryota; Metazoa; Chordata; Lepidosauria; Squamata; Rhineuridae
Exons: 4
Source: RefSeq, a predicted model, not a curated record
GAGAGAAAGGAGGGGAAAAAACACAAGAGAGUUUCUCCUGAUAGAGCCGCAGCACUUGCCAUGGGAAGGGUGCACAGACUGGAAGAAAGAAGAGAAGGCUUUUCCAGGCUCACAGUGAUUUGCAAGUGAAUGUGGUGGGAGGGGUGAAAAGAAAGGAGGGCUUUCCGUCGAAGGCUCCCUCUCUCCUCCUCCUGCUCCGGACAGAAUGGCUCUCUUAUGUUUCAAGUCCAAGUGAUCUCAAGGCAACAUACAUGAUUCAUCCUACCUUACAAAGCUUUAUAGUAAUGCUGCAACUCCAGAACGCACCUGGAAGUAUUCCUCUGUACUAAUCCGAUCUUGAAGGCAGGGUCUAGUGGACUAAAUGACUUUCAGAAGUGUAUCAAAAUGACUUAGUUUGAUGAAGUAAACCGAAGCAUCUUGAACAUCAGGGACACAAUUUUGUUCUCCUUCAUGUUUUUUAAUCCUUCCUGUGGCUCCAGCGAUGACUGUGGCAUUUGAAAAUAGCAAAGCCAGUUUGUGCAACCUGUUAUUCGAUCCUUUCCUAAUGUAAAUAAA